UGAAAUGCACGUAGAUCACUCUUUUUUUUGACUCUGCAGUCGUACGAGCGUUCCGCUUGAUGACGUGCUUGCACUGAUUUCAACAAUGAAGCGAGUGGCGAACUGGUGAGUAACACGUGGGAAAUCUGCCCAGAAGCAGGGGAUAACACUUGGAAACAGGUGCUAAUACCGUAUAACAACAAAAUCCGCAUGGAUUUUGUUUGAAAGGUGGCUUCGGCUAUCACUUCUGGAUGAUCCCGCGGCGUAUUAGUUAGUUGGUGAGGUAAAGGCCCACCAAGACGAUGAUACGUAGCCGACCUGAGAGGGUAAUCGGCCACAUUGGGACUGAGACACGGCCCAAACUCCUACGGGAGGCAGCAGUAGGGAAUCUUCCACAAUGGACGAAAGUCUGAUGGAGCAAUGCCGCGUGAGUGAAGAAGGGUUUCGGCUCGUAAAACUCUGUUGUUAAAGAAGAACACC
This 459-nucleotide ribosomal RNA is filed under the name Levilactobacillus brevis. RNAcentral describes it as "bacterial SSU rRNA". It matches the Rfam family "Bacterial small subunit ribosomal RNA", at positions 1 to 453 of the family's 1533-position model. The record is from RNAcentral. Lineage: Bacteria; Bacillati; Bacillota; Bacilli; Lactobacillales; Lactobacillaceae.